This 468-nucleotide ribosomal RNA is filed under the name uncultured bacterium. Its description in RNAcentral is "partial 16S ribosomal RNA". It matches the Rfam family "Bacterial small subunit ribosomal RNA", at positions 28 to 507 of the family's 1533-position model. The record is from RNAcentral.
GACGAACGCUGGCGGCGUGCUUAACACAUGCAAGUCGAACGGAAAGGCCCUGCUUUUGUGGGGUGCUCGAGUGGCGAACGGGUGAGUAACACGUGAGUAACCUGCCCUUGACUUUGGGAUAACUUCAGGAAACUGGGGCUAAUACCGGAUAGGAGCUCCUGCUGCAUGGUGGGGGUUGGAAAGUUUCGGCGGUUGGGGAUGGACUCGCGGCUUAUCAGCUUGUUGGUGGGGUAGUGGCUUACCAAGGCUUUGACGGGUAGCCGGCCUGAGAGGGUGACCGGCCACAUUGGGACUGAGAUACGGCCCAGACUCCUACGGGAGGCAGCAGUGGGGAGUAGUGCACAAUGGGCGGAAGCCUGAUGCAGCAACGCCGCGUGCGGGAUGACGGCCGUCGGGUUGUGAACCGCUUUCGCCUGUGACGAAGCGUGAGUGACGGUAAUGGGUAAAGAAGCACCGGCUAACUACGUG